GAGGAUUGAAUUUUAAGGAGAUCUAAUCUGAAGAUUGAUUGUCUCAGCUUCCGAUGAAUCUUUGUUGAGCUUUUCUAUUGAGGCCAGCUUUUUGAUGAGCUCAGUCUUCACCUUUUUAAUGUAGUUGGCUUUUUGAUGAGCUAGGCUUCCUGAUGAGUCCUUGUUGAUCUUUCCAUUGAAAUCGGUAUUUUUAUGAACUCAGCCUUCAUCCUUCUAAUGAGGUUGACUUUUUGAUGAUCUAGACUUUCUGAUGAGCCUCUAUUGAUCUUUCUGUUGAGGUUGGUAUUUUUUUGUACUCAG
Molecule: long non-coding RNA, 300 nt
Filed under: Elaeis guineensis (African oil palm)
Lineage: Eukaryota; Viridiplantae; Streptophyta; Magnoliopsida; Arecales; Arecaceae
Description: long non-coding RNA (EGUI_LNC060639)
Source: RNAcentral